Synchiropus splendidus (mandarinfish) is the source of this 6465-nucleotide long non-coding RNA. RefSeq lists it as uncharacterized. The record is from RefSeq and is a predicted model, not a curated record. NCBI's taxonomy places the organism in Eukaryota, Metazoa, Chordata, Actinopteri, Syngnathiformes, Callionymidae. The transcript is spliced from 6 exons.
GUUGGAUCUGAAAUGUAUUUGCCGAUCUGCUCAUGCGCAGAUCGACCCGUACGCCCUGCAGAAACUCUUCUUCUGAUGCUAAAGGGAGUAGACGGCUCUACUCCGAGUCCCAGGCAGGGAAGAACUAGCCACCAUCCGCCAUCUUGUUUUGUGGUUGCAGCUCCACGUGUGAGAUAUGAAACAAAAUGGCUCACUGGACGCGCCGCCAGGUUUAAGAGGUGCCAAGCAGAACAGAGGAAAACAUGACUCAGAAGGCCACACCUGCAUCCAAAUGCACAAGAACCUUGCAGGAUAUCCAUGACUAUAUAGAAAUACUUGAGGACAUGAAGAGAAAAGCAAAUACACUGGAUGAGGAGAGUAUAAAAUAUUUGAGUACUUUGAGUCCACCAUCAUUCUGAGGUAUGAGUUGUCUGUAUGGUUGUGUCUUCCUGCUCCCAAUAUGUAAUCUACACAGUCAAAUAUCCCAUUGUAGAGUGUAACGGUCAGGACACGUGCAGCCAGCUCAGAUCCUCAGACCUUUAAACCAGACAAAAGAAGAACAAACUCUAUUUCACAUUUUUGCAGUGUGAAAUCAAAUGAUUGUUUCAUAUUUGCGUCGUGCCGCUGGCCACUGUUCUGCCAGUCACCUACCGAGCCUCUGCCUGUGCAAUGGCCUUCCCCGUGACCAGCCGCUCAGCAAUAGCAGACACUGCAGGGUCGUAGUCCAGGCUCGCUGCUGCCACCACCUGAUCAUCCCUGUGGUACAGAAUGUCUUUUCAAGAGAGGCGACAGUCUUUUCAAGAGAUGACAGUACAGUAUGUUCCUGGGCUUACUUGAUGUACAGAGCCAGGAACCGCUUGUUCUCAAAACUUCCUUUGAUGACGACCUCGGUGUAUCCCUCGCCGUAACCUGUGGCCAACAGAACACAAUCAUCACCGUGUCUUCCUCACAGGCAGGGUGCACUCCAACAGACAGACACACCUGAUUUGCUCUGGAUUAAUAUUUUCUAUGUAUUCCUAAUAUCUAUAGCAGACCCUGGGCCCUCACGAUCAGCUGGAUCUGUGAGUCAGAUAACUUGUUAAGUUAUCUGACUAGUUUAAUAUCUAUAUUUAUUAGUCAUUACUAGCUCCAUUCUAAAUACAACUGGAAGACUUUCUUUUCUUUUUUCAUUUUUUGUGCGAAUUAUAUAACAUCGUUCGGCUAGUGAAAAUAUAUUGCCCUUCAAAAUAAAUUAGAAAAUGCGAUGAUAAUUAUGCUUACGAUCACAAUUGUGUUUCUCCCCAGGCAUCUACUACUAAAAUACAUCAUCUUCACAUGCUAAUGAUUUGUUAUGAGAGUCUUGAAGUAAAACUUAGUGAGAAAAAAAUUAAGCAUUAAAUAAUCAUAAACCCAAUUGUAUGAAGUCUGAUCAUUCCUGGUACUUGAUUUAAAAAAAAAUAUACAUUCUCUUAAAUCUUAUGGCAAGAGAGGGAGAAGGAUGAGGUGCUCACUGGAGUCUUCACUCUGAAGGUCACAGUCUUGGAAGCUCAAACAUCUGAACCUCCACUCACCUGUGUAUCUGAUCGUUUUGCCUUGGAGGACGGUCCAGUAGAAGGGAACUGAAUUGAGUUCUGUGGCUUUAUCCAGCAUGUUGAAAGCAGCGAUUCGGCCUGGAAUAGAAGUCAGGUCAAGAUGGGGUCACGGACCUAAUGUGGAGCGGAGGUUUCUCACUUAGAAUCAACAGCUGUCACUCAGUCACCUUGCACCAGGCGCAUUUCUCAGGCACACAGCUUCUAUUGUCGCGAGCUUUACCGUGCGCUUGUGCCAUCUGCCAGUGCCCAAUGUUGACCAGCUGGUCUUUGGCCAUGGCCAGAGGGAAGGUGGCCAAGUCUCCCGCGCAGAAGACCCCCGGUACGUUUGUGCGCAUGAACUGCAGCAAGAAGAAAGCAGCGGUUGUGAAGAGAGGAGAGGAGUCGGCUGGCUCACAUGGCAGGAGCUUGUUGACCUCUGACCUUAUCGACGAUUACAAACUUUCUCGAGUCCAUGACAAUCUUUGUUUCCGACAGAAACUCUGAGUUUGGGACAACACCUGGCAAAAAACACAAAUAGGCAGGUUAACAAGAUGCAAACUGAAAUGAACUUCUAUUGUCUCUGUACUGUGGAGAAAAGUCACUCACCAAUGGCGACAAUCAAAACAUCAGCUGGGAGAAUCUUUCCACUUUUCAGCACAACUUCUUUCACCUUUCGGAGGAGAGGACGAUGAAAGACAAAGCCAGUGAAUAUUCUGAUAGUGUCGGUUAGUGGAGCUGAAGUUUUAGCUCGAGAGGUGGCUGUGGUGGCUGCGGCAGGUCGGCCUAGGGGUUGCAACAGCAUGCCAGCCUCCUCCACCUUAAUGUCGCUUCAUCCCCAUUCACCAUGAACCACUCUUCCUCUCCUUAUCGCCAACAUCCUUGGUCCACUCUGUCUCUCUCUCUUCUCCACAGGCCCCUCUGACAGCCUUGUGUUUGAUGUGGUGCUUUGUAGCCAAAAACUUUGUGCACAAACCAAAAUGACCUUGCAGUUCUAAGUGAACUCUGCAGUGUCUGUACCUUUCCCUCUUCUCCACAAGCCUCUGUGACGCUGUCGUUCAUGCAGAACUUGACGUUCUUCUCUGACAGCAUCUGGUCCCAAGGUCUUCUGGUACGGAACCUCGCUGCUGCCGAUCACCGUGAUGCUGGAGGCUUUUUCAAUCAAGUAGGAAGCGACCUCCAUCCCUGGGGUCAACAGGUGAAAGCGGUUCCAUCUUUCGUCCCAAAACAUGAUGUCUUACAUCACCCCGUCCCAAAAUGAGUCUAGUUUCUUGCCUAAUUUUGGGUGUGAUCGAAAAAAACAAGUCUCCCCCCCCAGUCUUCACCCACCGAUGAAAGAGGUUCCCAGAAUGACGACGCUACAGUUCUCACAGGCUGCGUGGAUUUUCUGGGCGUCCUCUGGCGUCUCCAACAUUUUGACAUUUUCCAGGUUCAUUCCUGGGAUGUCAAGACUUUUGGCUCUGUAAGAUGUAGCCACAGUUAUCACUGAGGUGCAGGACCAUGACGUUGGUGUUUGUACCGGCAGCCUGUGGACAGGAGGAGCUGGUCGUAGUCCUGGACUGACCCGUCGUCAAAAAUGACCUUCUUCUCGUCUGUGUCUACAUUCGUCGCCUGGACAUGGAGGAGCAGAGUUUGCUGUGGAACAUGAGGAUGAAGGAACAUGUCACCGCGACUCACUUCUUUCCCGAGCCAGACUUCAAUAUCAUACUGGUGAAAGAACUGCAUCCCCCGCAGCAGAAUGCUGUCGCUCUGCACGUUCAUCACCUUCAGUCAGGGUGAAAACAGACCAGUAAGAUCAAAGUUCUCGGUCACUGAAAUGCCCCGGUUCCGCCGCACCUUGCUGAGGCGGGUUUUGUCGUACGGUAAGAGGUGGUCUCUGGUGACCAUGAUGAUUCUGCCACCGAAGUUCUCCUGCCGCAGCGUCUCAGCGCAGAUCAGAGACGCAGCUCCUGCACUUGCACGGCAUCGUGGUCACCGGGGUGAAGCAGUAGUGAACCAGCAGUCAAGGAAUGCCACUCACCUCCUCCCAGCAGGACGACUGUGUGUGUGACGCCCUGCACGGCCGUACCCAUGUUCUUCCUCCGCUUCUCCUGGAUGACAGUCUGAUGACAGCGAAUCAUCCAGAGAUGCUUGAAGCUGUAAAUCUGAGUUGUGUGUGGAAGAACGUUGCCUCACCUUUUUGUUGACAGAGACGUACACUUUGUUGUUCUGGACUUUGACCUGCGGCAGAGCGGAGACUCACGUUUGUAGUUAGUGGUCCUCUGUGUGGCUGGGUUCUUUACCUUGUGACACGGCAGACAGUCCAAACCGGGGUGCUCCUCCAAGUCUCCUGUGUGGACGUUGAAACAAGCGCCAUGCCAGGGACAGCGCACCCGAUGCCCUGAAAUGACCCCUGAACACACAUACACACACACACACACACACACCCACACACACACACACACGUCCAUGAUGCAGACAUAGACGACAGACUCGUGAGGGGAAGGGAUUCAUGCCUACCUUUGCUCAGCGGUGCACCGUAGUGUGUACACUGGCUACCUACAGCGCUGUAUUUGCCCUCGGUGCGGGUCAACAGCACGCUGUGGUGACCCACCUCCACCUCCAUCAUCCUUGGAGAGCAGCACGGUCAGUGAAGAUCAUAAGUGAAGCUUUGCUCCCUCAACUCUUUUCUGUCUUACAGUAAAGCAUCACAUGGCUGGUGGAUGCAGGUGUCAUUUCACAUUUCAUACGACAUUUUCUUUUGAUAAACUGUUGCCACGGUGUCAGGGUAAGUGCUCUCAUUUAAGGGGCGUGAUAAUGUAUUUCCAUCUCUUACUUGACGUAUGAAGCUGUGGAUAAUGACAUCAUCAUCAUCAUCAUCGAGGGCUUUUUGUUUAGUUUCAACCUACAGUAGUUUCAGCUCCCAAUAAGGUCACAAGCCAGGACAGUGUGCUGAUAGAGAGGCUGUCAGUGAGGCAGCUGAGUGUCAAUACCCUCGUUAAAUCAGACGUGUGAGGAUUGGAAAUUGCAAAUAGAAAACAAACUUCAUAUUGAAAUAUUAGCCUUGAGCUGCCUGCGAUCAUUUCUGGACCCAGAACUGAGAAAUGGAAGUUAUGUAUUUAAAAACCAGCCAAACUGUGGUGAUGCGGCUACUGAAUGAUAUGUUGUGUGUGACACACAAACACACACACUCAUGUUUGUAUCUCUAUCCUUGUGGGGAUCUUUCAUGGCCAUAACCCUUUCCCCAGCUUCUCACCUAAACCAGAGCUUUGAACCAAACUGAAACCAAAUUCUAAUGACCCAGUUUUUUUAAGUUUUAAUCCUCUGAUUCAUGUUGAAGGUCCCCACUAGUAUAGCUGUACAAUGUGCACACACACACACAAGCACACUCUCUUACUGUCCAUCAUGAAGGUCUGACUCGAGACAAACCACUUUUGUCACUUCCUCUGUGCUCUCCUCCAGAUGAUCAUCUGGGAACUCCUGCGGGGCUGAAAACACAGGCAGUAUUCACAGCCUCUUCUACACAAGCCUCAUGGUGGAUCAUGAGAACUGCAGGAGGAGUGACGAGGCAAAGGCGGGUCACGACUUCGAUGUGAAGUGGGUUCCAUUACAGCAGAUGGUGUUUUGAGAGAGAGAGAUUCUAAUAUCUUCCUGGUAUGUGAUUUGACUGAAUCAAGUGCCACUUGAAGAGCAGUUGAUUGACAUGUGUAAGCUACUGCUCAACUCUUACAGUUUUACGUGAUAGUUCAGUUCAGAUUACGUUCCACUUUUGCCAGUUAUUUUUUUAUCUUGUUUUCUUGACCAACUAUAUAAUGACAGUGAAGAUGACAUCACCAUGACAUCACUGAGGUGCUGAGGUGUAACAAGGCAGGAAGGAAUGUCAUGAAUGAGUACAUAUAAAUAUAUAAAAAAUGUAUAAAAAAGCCCCAGCUGAGGAAUGAAUGAAGUGGCUCACUGCAGGUAACUAAUUCCAGCCUUAACCCCUCCAUGUUUCUCACCAAACCACCGGUUUUGUUUUCUAUAUUGUCAGAAUACAUCAAUUACAUGUAGACGCUCCAAUUGUAAUCAUGGAAUCUUGAUGUUCAUUGGGAAGAUGAUGAUGAUGUUUAUGAAGUUGUUUUGUUUUCAUUUCUAAUGCUAGACAUGCUGUUGUCUAAUAUUCAUUCAGAGGUGUUGACGCUUUGAAAGCUCUGGGUUGCUAAAAUAGACCAUUAGAAACAGCUGGAUCAGGUCGGAAUGUGGCCCAGACUUUCACAAGUACAACUGAAAAUUGACCUUCUAGAGGUCAAAUGUGUUUUUUAGCACAGAAAAGGGACAGCAGGAACAUGAGAAUUGAAGUUGGUGUCGUUGGUGCGAGUCACUCUACUCCAUCUUUCCUCUCUUUGCUCCCCUUCAUGUGUACAUUUAUAAGUCCAUGAGCUGCAUUGGUUGCCCUCUUGCCCCAUUGCUCUCCUCUAACUUUUAUCGCUUAAUUUCUGCCUACUUUACUCUUGACUAUGUUUAAUAUGAUCCAGCUACAUCUGAAAGUAGCUUCCAUAACUUGCUCGGUCGUUCAUGUUCUAUUUCUCAAUUAUUGAAUGUCAAGACAUAGGCGCUUAAGUUGUGGGGGAAAUUCAGCAAUAAAACUGCUAAUUCUCCACCCAUGAAGUCCCUUGGUUGUUGUUCCCAAACUCAAAGUCCAGCUCCCUUGUUCAUGAUUACACACAUCCCACAAGAUAAAAACGUCCCCUAAACCCUGGCGAGCUGGGAGUUAGACAAUGAUUAAAUGAAAACUAUACGAUGGACUAAAUAAGGAACUAACUAAUAACUGUGAUUCUGACAACAUUCCUUCUGAAGUCUGCAUCACAUGGUCUGUCGUAGCCAGAGAGUCGGACCGUGUUGUGUAGAGCUGGACCGGUGUGCAGUUAUCAGUGCCAACUUUAUCAGCAGGUGAGCAUCCAAGGCCAGACCCAACGUGUUG